This 1552-nucleotide long non-coding RNA is filed under the name Oryctolagus cuniculus (rabbit). Its description in RNAcentral is "lncRNA (ENSOCUG00000036127.1)". The record is from RNAcentral. Lineage: Eukaryota; Metazoa; Chordata; Mammalia; Lagomorpha; Leporidae.
AUUGGCAGGAGGAAAAACAAUGGCGGCAUAAAAGACAGUCGGACCCCAGACAGGUGCCUGGCUUGGCCCGGGGGGCUGAGUGCACCUGACGUGUGGGGAGGAGUUCCAACCAGGCUCUGGAGAGGGCUGGCAAGGCGCGCGGCAGGGCGGAAGGCUCUGGAAGUUGAUCUGCCUUCUUGGACCCUAAGUGAGUGUGCCGGCCUCAGCUGGGAGGAAUGUGUGCUAGUUCGCUCAAAGUACGCCUAUCACAAGACGUCAUACACGAUUGUCUCUUGUCGGAUAAAAAACUGGACCCCAAGUCUUCACCUGGGCGAGUCUGCUGAUGGAAUGCAGAUGAGACCGGCUCUGGGGAGGCAGUCCCAGGCCUCAGCCGCGGGAUGCGGGAGAAGUGCCUGCGCUCACCGCGGUGGGGCUCCCCAGCGUCUAACAAUGCAACUGGGCUCAUCUCCUACCUUCAGCAAAGGGGCGCCAAGCCUUUCCGAGUUACCGCCCGGCAGCCUUGGCGGAGUUACCCGGUGGACUUUUCAUUUUAAGGUACAAAUCAUUGUAUAGUUCCCUCAGUCUCUACCUCUCCUCCUCUGAGCGCCUCUGGAGACGGGCGCCCACCUCCAGGACGCCCAGGGUUACCAGAUGUGACCAGAGCCCAGGGCUCCUGUGAGGCUCUGGGCUCUGCAGUGAGCGCGGGCGUCGACUAAGGAGGUGCAGCCGGGGCGGAGCCUGGGCCUGGAGCCGGCCUUUCCCGCUGCCUGACUCGGUCACAGAGGCGUGCCGGGCCAGCUGGGCCGCCAGGAACAUGCAACGAGAACACACGGCGCCUGCGGUCUCUGGCCGCGCGCUAUGCUCGCCGUCUAUAAUAUGACCGAGAGCAACUGUUACCCACUGUAGGUGCGGUGGACUGUAAGGACAGCAUACCAGCUGGGGUGCCUGCUCCCGACAGGACAGUGGUGGGAGCCCUUUCUGAACUGCUACGGAGCUUCCAGGAGGAGCUUGGGGAUGACCUCCACGGUUAGCAUGGCACGAAUCCCUGGUGCCGGUGGGAGGGUCAGCAGAGGGUUGUGGGGGCCCAGACAGACCUGGGCUCUCUUCUAGGUGCACACGUUCCGUGGCCGUGCCUGUGGUCAGAUCGCCUUCCCUGACGCUCCCUUUCUGCCUCCGUGUAGUGGAAACAUAGCACCCAGCUCGCAGAGUGGUUGGGAGCUUUAGAAGUGAGACACACGUGGCUUAGGGCCCGGCCUGGCCCGGCACCUACCAGGGGGCACCAAGGUGCUGUCAGGGCUGUGCUUGGUGGCUUUGCAUCUCUGUUCCCCAGGGCACCCGUGGACACCUGGUGCCUCUCCCACCUCUGCCCAGUUCGGCAACCUGCAGUGGGCCAGUGCUGCAGAGGCCCAGAGACGUCAGACCACGUCUGCCCCUGGUGAGCGCCCUCUCGGGGCCCUGGCUUCCCGUGGGGGCCAGCGGGAUCCAGAGGUGAGAAGGGGGCUGUUUGGAGGGCAGGCCUGGCAAACCGGGUCCUCAAAAUGUGCCUCCGGAUUCUGGCUAGGGCUCGUGUGUC